This 253-nucleotide ribosomal RNA is filed under the name uncultured bacterium. RNAcentral describes it as "partial 16S ribosomal RNA". It matches the Rfam family "Bacterial small subunit ribosomal RNA", at positions 524 to 776 of the family's 1533-position model. The record is from RNAcentral.
UACGAAGGGUGCAAGCGUUAAUCGGAAUUACUGGGCGUAAAGCGCGCGUAGGUGGUUCAGUAGGUUGGAAGUGAAAUCCCCGGGCUCAACCUGGGAACUGCUUUCAAAACUGCUGAGCUAGAGUACGGUAGAGGGUGGUGGAAUUUCCUGUGUAGCGGUGAAAUGCGUAGAUAUAGGAAGGAACACCAGUGGCGAAGGCGACCACCUGGACUGAUACUGACACUGAGGUGCGAAAGCGUGGGGAGCAAACAGG